This 238-nucleotide long non-coding RNA is filed under the name Homo sapiens (human). RNAcentral describes it as "LNC_000275". The record is from RNAcentral. Lineage: Eukaryota; Metazoa; Chordata; Mammalia; Primates; Hominidae.
CACCUCCUUACAACUUCCAGAGAGAAAAUACAAAACAAGAAACAGACUUGGUUUCAAAUGCAUAACCAGGUGCUGGAGUUUAAAGCAUUACUGAUAACAUUGUUACAGAAGAAUGGCAGCUUACUCCAGGGCACUUCAGUAUUCCUGAGGAAUAAACAUGAUUUCUCUUGUCCUCCCGCUGGGAUGUUCUCAGGUGAAGUCACUGCUCCUGCUCUUUGACAUAUUUUCCAUGUAGAAG